RNAcentral lists this ribosomal RNA (253 nucleotides) under uncultured bacterium. RNAcentral's name for it is "partial 16S ribosomal RNA". It matches the Rfam family "Bacterial small subunit ribosomal RNA", at positions 524 to 776 of the family's 1533-position model. The record is from RNAcentral.
UACGUAGGGGGCAAGCGUUGUCCGGAUUUAUUGGGCGUAAAGAGCGUGUAGGCGGCCAUACAGGUCAGCUGUGAAAACUCGAGGCUCAACCUCGAGACGUCGGUUGAAACCGUAUGGCUAGAGUCCGGAAGAGGAGAGUGGAAUUCCCGGUGUAGCGGUGAAAUGCGCAGAUAUCGGGAAGAACACCGGUGGCGAAGGCGGCCUGCUGGGCAGUAGCUGACGCUGAGGCGCGACAGCGUGGGGAGCAAACAGG